AUAAAGUUGUUCUCAGUUCGGAUUGUAGUCUGCAACUCGACUACAUGAAGCUGGAAUCGCUAGUAAUCGUAGAUCAGCAUGCUACGGUGAAUACGUUCCCGGGUCUUGUACACACCGCCCGUCACACCACGAGAGUUUGUAACACCCGAAGCCGGUGGAGUAACCUUUUAGGAGCUAGCCGUCGAAGGUGGGACAAAUGAUUGGGGUGAAGUCGUAACAAGGUAGCCGUAUCGGAAGGGGCGGCUGGAUCACCUCCUUUCUAAGGA
RNAcentral lists this ribosomal RNA (266 nucleotides) under Staphylococcus aureus. RNAcentral describes it as "partial 16S ribosomal RNA". It matches the Rfam family "Bacterial small subunit ribosomal RNA", at positions 1276 to 1533 of the family's 1533-position model. The record is from RNAcentral. Lineage: Bacteria; Bacillati; Bacillota; Bacilli; Caryophanales; Staphylococcaceae.